GCCUAACACAUGCAAGUCGAACGGAAACGAUGGGAGCUUGCUCCCAGGCGUCGAGUGGCGGACGGGUGAGUAAUACUUAGGAAUCUGCCCAUUAGUGGGGGACAACUCGAGGAAACUCGAGCUAAUACCGCAUACGCCCUACGGGGGAAAGCGGAGGAUCCUUCGGGACUUCGCGCUAAUGGAUGAGCCUAAGUCGGAUUAGCUUGUUGGUGAGGUAAAGGCUCACCAAGGCGACGAUCCGUAGCUGGUCUGAGAGGACGAUCAGCCACACUGGGACUGAGACACGGCCCAGACUCCUACGGGAGGCAGCAGUGGGGAAUAUUGGACAAUGGGCGCAAGCCUGAUCCAGCAAUGCCGCGUGUGUGAAGAAGGCCUGCGGGUUGUAAAGCACUUUCAGUAGAGAAGAAAAGCCUACGGUUAAUACCCGUGAGUCUUGACGUUACCUACAGAAGAAGCUCCGGCUAACUCCGUGCCAGCAGCCGCGGUAAUACGGAGGGAGCAAGCGUUAAUCGGAAUUACUGGGCGUAAAGCGCGCGUAGGCGGCUUUGUCAGUCGGAUGUGAAAGCCCUGGGCUCAACCUGGGAAUUGCAUUCGAUACUGCAGAGCUAGAGUAUGGUAGAGGGAAGUGGAAUUUCCGGUGUAGCGGUGAAAUGCGUUAGAUAUCGGAAGGAACACCAGUUGGCGAAGGCGACUUCCUGGGCCAAUACUGACGCUGAGGUGCGAAAGCGUGGGGAGCAAA
This 739-nucleotide ribosomal RNA is filed under the name uncultured bacterium. RNAcentral describes it as "bacterial SSU rRNA". It matches the Rfam family "Bacterial small subunit ribosomal RNA", at positions 46 to 772 of the family's 1533-position model. The record is from RNAcentral.